CGGAAGGUGAUUCUUGUGUUCUACAUAUCUGAUGAGGAAAUUCAGCAUUAAUGUGCCAGAUGAUGGUACAUUGGUGUGCACUUUUCUUCUAGUAAGACGUUGCGAUCCAUUAGAAAAGCAAUAUAAAUCUGUAUAUAGGCCCAAAUAGGAGUUUAUACAUUAAGCGAGUAACAUGGCUUUGUUGUUAUGUGAAUGCGUGUAAACUAUUUGGUGUUCUUACAGAUGUCUGAUGGUAUAUUGACGAGUGUCACAUGCAAUUCCUUGUGAAUUGACAUUCUUUAUGUGGAUGUAAUGUGUACAUUAUCAGCAACGUUUUAGAUUUAGGAUACCAUCAGGACCCGUCUUGAAACACGGACCAAGAAGUCUAACUUGUAUGCAAGUCAAUGGGAUUAUUAAAACCUAUAGGCGAAAUGAGAUUAACUUGUUACAAUGGGAUUACAAAUGGUGUAUUAAUUAUACUGUUUUUCCAUCCCCGGGUAUCUUAAUGUAAGUACUGUAAUUUCGGUUGCGUGUACUACAAAGAUAUACCGUGAGCAUACAAGCUGUGACCCGAAAGAUGGUGAACUAUGCCUGAUCAGGUUGAAGUCAGGGGAAACCCUGAUGGAAGACCGUAGCAAUUCUGACGUGCAAAUCGAUUGUCAGAGUUGGGUAUAGGGGCGAAAGACCAAUCGAACCAUCUAGUAGCUGGUUCCCUUCCGA
Molecule: ribosomal RNA, 699 nt
Filed under: Culicoides subschultzei
Lineage: Eukaryota; Metazoa; Arthropoda; Insecta; Diptera; Ceratopogonidae
Description: eukaryotic LSU rRNA
Rfam family: Eukaryotic large subunit ribosomal RNA
Source: RNAcentral